GAUGAACGCUGGCGGCGUGCCUAAUACAUGCAAGUCGAGCGAACGGACGAGAAGCUUGCUUCUCUGAUGUUAGCGGCGGACGGGUGAGUAACACGUGGAUAACCUACCUAUAAGACUGGGAUAACUUCGGGAAACCGGAGCUAAUACCUGAUAAUAUUUUGAACCGCAUGGUUCAAAAGUAAAAGACGGUCUUGCUGUCAUUUAUAGAUGGAUCCGCGCUGCAUUAGCUAGUUGGUAAGGUAACGGCUUACCAAGGCAACGAUGCAUAGCCGACCUGAGAGGGUGAUCGGCGACACUGGAACUGAGACACGGUACAGACACCUACGGGAGGCAGCAGUAGGGCAUCGUCCGCAAUAGGCGAAAGCCUGACGGAGCAACGCCGCGCGAGUGAUGAAGGUCUUCGGAUCGUAAAACUCUGUUAGUAGGGAAGAACAUAUGUGUAAGUAACUGUGCACAUCUUGACGGUACCUAAUCAGAAAGCCACGGCUAACUACGUG
This 497-nucleotide ribosomal RNA is filed under the name uncultured bacterium. Its description in RNAcentral is "partial 16S ribosomal RNA". It matches the Rfam family "Bacterial small subunit ribosomal RNA", at positions 28 to 507 of the family's 1533-position model. The record is from RNAcentral.